This 73-nucleotide transfer RNA is filed under the name Chitinispirillales bacterium. Its description in RNAcentral is "tRNA-Thr". It matches the Rfam family "tRNA". Rfam says of the family: Transfer RNA (tRNA) molecules are approximately 80 nucleotides in length. Their secondary structure includes four short double-helical elements and three loops (D, anti-codon, and T loops). Further hydrogen bonds mediate the characteristic L-shaped molecular structure. tRNAs have two regions of fundamental functional importance: the anti-codon, which is responsible for specific mRNA codon recognition, and the 3' end, to which the tRNAs corresponding amino acid is attached (by aminoacyl-tRNA synthetases). tRNAs cope with the degeneracy of the genetic code in two manners: having more than one tRNA (with a specific anti-codon) for a particular amino acid; and 'wobble' base-pairing, i.e. permitting non-standard base-pairing at the 3rd anti-codon position. Lineage: Bacteria; Pseudomonadati; Fibrobacterota; Chitinispirillia; Chitinispirillales. The record is from RNAcentral.
GCCGGGAUAGCUCAGUUGGUAGAGCAAUUGAUUCGUAAUCAAUAGGCCGUCAGUUCGAGUCUGAUUCCCGGCU